RNAcentral lists this ribosomal RNA (854 nucleotides) under Neisseria sp. 89d. RNAcentral's name for it is "bacterial SSU rRNA". It matches the Rfam family "Bacterial small subunit ribosomal RNA", at positions 643 to 1498 of the family's 1533-position model. Lineage: Bacteria; Pseudomonadati; Pseudomonadota; Betaproteobacteria; Neisseriales; Neisseriaceae. The record is from RNAcentral.
AGAGUAUGUCAGAGGGGGGUAGAAUUCCACGUGUAGCAGUGAAAUGCGUAGAGAUGUGGAGGAAUACCGAUGGCGAAGGCAGCCCCCUGGGAUAAUACUGACGUUCAUGCUCGAAAGCGUGGGUAGCAAACAGGAUUAGAUACCCUGGUAGUCCACGCCCUAAACGAUGUCAAUUAGCUGUUGGGGCACUUGAUGCCUUAGUAGCGUAGCUAACGCGUGAAAUUGACCGCCUGGGGAGUACGGUCGCAAGAUUAAAACUCAAAGGAAUUGACGGGGACCCGCACAAGCGGUGGAUGAUGUGGAUUAAUUCGAUGCAACGCGAAGAACCUUACCUGGUCUUGACAUGUACGGAAUCCUCCAGAGACGGAGGAGUGCCUUCGGGAGCCGUAACACAGGUGCUGCAUGGCUGUCGUCAGCUCGUGUCGUGAGAUGUUGGGUUAAGUCCCGCAACGAGCGCAACCCUUGUCAUUAGUUGCCAUCAUUUAGUUGGGCACUCUAAUGAGACUGCCGGUGACAAACCGGAGGAAGGUGGGGAUGACGUCAAGUCCUCAUGGCCCUUAUGACCAGGGCUUCACACGUCAUACAAUGGUCGGUACAGAGGGUAGCCAAGCCGCGAGGUGGAGCCAAUCCCAAAAAACCGAUCGUAGUCCGGAUUGCACUCUGCAACUCGAGUGCAUGAAGUCGGAAUCGCUAGUAAUCGCAGGUCAGCAUACUGCGGUGAAUACGUUCCCGGGUCUUGUACACACCGCCCGUCACACCAUGGGAGUGGGGGAUACCAGAAGUAGGUAGGGUAACCGCAAGGAGCCCGCUUACCACGGUAUGCUUCAUGACUGGGGUGAAGUCGUAACAAGGUA